AUUGAGUAAUCAGAUAAAAAGUACUUUUGCGUUUUUAAACAACAUCAAUAGUCCAGGGAUCUCCCUAAGCAAUGGUACAAUGUCGCUGCGCCAUCAAACAGCUUGUCUAAUUUA
Molecule: long non-coding RNA, 114 nt
Organism: Thalassophryne amazonica
Lineage: Eukaryota; Metazoa; Chordata; Actinopteri; Batrachoidiformes; Batrachoididae
Exons: 3
Source: RefSeq, a predicted model, not a curated record